This 252-nucleotide ribosomal RNA is filed under the name uncultured bacterium. RNAcentral's name for it is "partial 16S ribosomal RNA". It matches the Rfam family "Bacterial small subunit ribosomal RNA", at positions 525 to 776 of the family's 1533-position model. The record is from RNAcentral.
ACGUAGGGUGCGAGCGUUAAUCGGAAUUACUGGGCGUAAAGCGUGCGCAGGCGGUUGCAUAAGACAGGCGUGAAAUCCCCGAGCUUAACUUGGGAAUUGCGUUUGUGACUGUGUAACUGGAGUGCGGCAGAGGGGGAUGGAAUUCCGCGUGUAGCAGUGAAAUGCGUAGAUAUGCGGAGGAACACCGAUGGCGAAGGCAAUCCCCUGGGCCUGCACUGACGCUCAUGCACGAAAGCGUGGGGAGCAAACAGG